RNAcentral lists this ribosomal RNA (497 nucleotides) under uncultured bacterium. RNAcentral describes it as "partial 16S ribosomal RNA". It matches the Rfam family "Bacterial small subunit ribosomal RNA", at positions 28 to 507 of the family's 1533-position model. The record is from RNAcentral.
GAUGAACGCUGGCGGCGUGCCUAAUACAUGCAAGUCGAGCGAACGGACGAGAAGCUUGCUUCUCUGAUGUUAGCGGCGGACGGGUGAGUAACACGUGGAUAACCUACCUAUAAGACUGGGAUAACUUCGGGAAACCGGAGCUAAUACCGGAUGAUAUUUUGAACCGCAUGGUUCAAAAGUGAAAGACGGUCUUGCUGUCACUUAUAGAUGGAUCCGCGCUGCAUUAGCUAGUUGGUAAGGUAACGGCUUACCAAGGCAACGAUGCAUAGCCGACCUGAGAGGGUGAUCCGCCACACUGUAACUGAGACACGGUCCAGACUCCUACGGGAGGCAGCAGUAGGGACUCUUCCGCAAUGGGCGAAAGCCUGACGGAGCAACGCCGCGUGAGUCAUGAAGGUCUUCGGCUCGUAAAACUCUGUUAUUAGGGAAGAACAUAUGUGUAAGUACCUGUGCACAUCUUGACGGUACCUAAUCAGAAAGCCACGGCUAACUCCGUG